GGGAAGGGAAGAAAAAAUAAGAUAAAAACAGAGAGGGUGACAAACCAUAAGAAACUCUUAAAUACAGAGAACAACCUGGGGGUUGCUGCUGGGGUGUUGGGUGCACGGGGGAUGGGCUAAAUGGGUGAUAGGAGGGCACUUGUCAUGAGCAUUGGGUGUUAUAGGUAGGUGAUGAAUCACUUAAAUUCUACUCCGGAAACCAACAUUACACUAUAUGUUAACUAACUAGAAUUUAAACAGAAACUUGAAACAAAAGAA
Long non-coding RNA from Herpailurus yagouaroundi (jaguarundi), 258 nucleotides. RefSeq lists it as uncharacterized. Lineage: Eukaryota; Metazoa; Chordata; Mammalia; Carnivora; Felidae. The transcript is spliced from 2 exons. The record is from RefSeq and is a predicted model, not a curated record.